Non-coding RNA from Microcebus murinus (gray mouse lemur), 224 nucleotides. NCBI's taxonomy places the organism in Eukaryota, Metazoa, Chordata, Mammalia, Primates, Cheirogaleidae. The record is from RefSeq and is a predicted model, not a curated record.
AGCAAGGUGGCCCAAGUCCACGGCAUCGUCUUGGUCCCCUGCCGAGGAAGCCUGUCGAGCAGCGUUCAGUCUACCUGUCAGUUCGAGUCCUAUGUUCUGAGACCAGUGGAGGAGCGUUUUCAGACCCUGAAUGGAAAGGAUGUCUUUAUUCAAGGAAACAGGAUUAAGUUAGGAGCUGGUUUUGCCUGUCUUCUCUCGGUGCCCAUUCUCUUGAAGAAAACUUC